This 372-nucleotide ribosomal RNA is filed under the name uncultured bacterium. RNAcentral describes it as "bacterial SSU rRNA". It matches the Rfam family "Bacterial small subunit ribosomal RNA", at positions 8 to 350 of the family's 1533-position model. The record is from RNAcentral.
AGAGUUUGAUCAUGGCUCAGGAUGAACGCUAGCUACAGGCUUAACACAUGCAAGUCGAGGGGAAACGACAUCGAAAGCUUGCUUUUGAUGGGCGUCGACCGGCGCACGGGUGAGUAACGCGUAUCCAACCUGCCCAUCACUUGGGGAUAACCUUGCGAAAGUAAGACUAAUACCCAAUGAUAUCUCUAGAAGACAUACUGAAAGAGAUUAAAGAUUUAAUCGGUGAUGGAUGGGGAUGGCGUCUGAUUAGCUUAGGUUGGCGGGGUAACGGCCCACCAAGGCGUACGAUCAGGUAGGGGUUCUCGGAAGAGGAACGGCCCCCACAAGUUGGAACUGACGACGUACGGUCCAAACCGUCCGUACGGGACGUCA